This 478-nucleotide ribosomal RNA is filed under the name uncultured bacterium. RNAcentral describes it as "partial 16S ribosomal RNA". It matches the Rfam family "Bacterial small subunit ribosomal RNA", at positions 28 to 507 of the family's 1533-position model. The record is from RNAcentral.
GAUGAACGCUGGCGGCGUGCUUAACACAUGCAAGUCGAACGGGAAACCUUUUAAUGAAGCUUCGGCAGAUUUAGCUGGUUUCUAGUGGCGGACGGGUGAGUAACGCGUGGGUAACCUGCCUUAUACAGGGGGAUAACAGUCAGAAAUGACUGCUAAUACCGCAUAAGCGCACAGGACCGCAUGGUCCGGUGUGAAAAACUCCGGUGGUAUAAGAUGGACCCGCGUUGGAUUAGCUUGUUGGUGGGGUAACGGCUCACCAAGGCGACGAUCCAUAGCCGGCCUGAGAGGGUGAACGGCCACAUUGGGACUGAGACACGGCCCAGACUCCUACGGGAGGCAGCAGUGGGGAAUAUUGCACAAUGGGGGAAACCCUGAUGCAGCGACGCCGCGUGAAGGAAGAAGUAUCUCGGUAUGUAAACUUCUAUCAGCAGGGAAGAUAGUGACGGUACCUAACGAAGAAGCCCCGGCUAACUACGUG